AGGCGGCGUGGUGUAGUGGGUAACACAUCAGUCCGGUCAACAGUUAAGAUGGUGGUUCGAUCCCAGCCGUCGACAU
Meloidogyne enterolobii is the source of this 76-nucleotide non-coding RNA. The record is from the annotation of a GenBank genome assembly. NCBI's taxonomy places the organism in Eukaryota, Metazoa, Nematoda, Chromadorea, Rhabditida, Meloidogynidae.